AGCGGUUCCACCAUCCUUAAAUGUGCAUUUGCUAUUUCUUCCUUUAGAUUCUGAAUCUGAUGUAGAACAAAGCGUAAACCUUUGACCAUCAAGAGAGCAAAUGAACGCUUUGAGUUCUCUCCAGAACAGGAAACGUCUCCUAGCUCUUCCAUCAGUUUCUGGUAACUUGCUUCCAUCUCUUUCUCUUUAGCCGGGGCAGAAAGUUUUUGCAGAGUGACUAAACAAAAAUCCAGGAGUCGUUUGAAAUAACCCACAUCCAAGGUCCCUGAAUUUAGAAUCUGCGCUAGAA
This 289-nucleotide unclassified non-coding RNA is filed under the name Hevea brasiliensis (rubber tree). The record is from RNAcentral. Lineage: Eukaryota; Viridiplantae; Streptophyta; Magnoliopsida; Malpighiales; Euphorbiaceae.